RNAcentral lists this ribosomal RNA (470 nucleotides) under Euthynnus alletteratus (little tunny). RNAcentral describes it as "partial 12S rRNA". It matches the Rfam family "Bacterial small subunit ribosomal RNA", at positions 787 to 1460 of the family's 1533-position model. Lineage: Eukaryota; Metazoa; Chordata; Actinopteri; Scombriformes; Scombridae. The record is from RNAcentral.
CCACUAUGCCUAGCCGUAAACAUUGAUAGAAUUCUACACCCUCUAUCCGCCUGGGUACUACGAGCAUCAGCUUGAAACCCAAAGGACUUGGCGGUACUUUAGAUCCCCCUAGAGGAGCCUGUUCUAUAACCGAUGACCCCCGUUCAACCUCACCCUCCCUUGUUUUUCCCGCCUAUAUACCGCCGUCGUCAGCUUACCCUGUGAAGGUCUAAUAGUAAGCAAAAUUGGCACCGCCCAGAACGUCAGGUCGAGGUGUAGCGCAUGAGAGGGGAAGAAAUGGGCUACAUUCGCUACUAUUAGCGAAUACGAACGAUGCACUGAAAACGUUCAUCUGAAGGAGGAUUUAGCAGUAAGUGGAAAAUAGAGUGUUCCGCUGAAAUCGGCUCUGAAGUGCGUACACACCGCCCGUCACUCUCCCCAAGCUUAUCACUACACAUAUAUAAAACGCCCCAAUUGCGAAGGGGAGGCAA